Molecule: long non-coding RNA, 18078 nt
Organism: Acinonyx jubatus (cheetah)
Lineage: Eukaryota; Metazoa; Chordata; Mammalia; Carnivora; Felidae
Exons: 4
Source: RefSeq, a predicted model, not a curated record
AUAUAUAUAUAUAUAUAUAUUUCACAGGGAUACGUGUUUUUUUAAAAGGCUGAAUGUGUUCACCACUUUAGCCUGUAGAUUUAUUUCCAUUUUCCAAAUUUAGCUCUAGCACGCACAGAUCCCAGCCCCUAUGUGUAGGGUGUUUGUGGACUUCCUAACAAUAUUUUGAGGCCUGAAUGAACUUUGGCUUAGGGGUAGAGGUUACAGAGGGAGGCAAGAUUUUCAACUGGAAAACGGGUGGAAUUUGGACUGAUCGACUUGAGACUAAAAAAACCGCUAUUCCUUUUGUUCUUUCUAGCAUCUCCCCCACCCACCGAGCGCUCCUCAGGCUAGAUAGUGAAACGAUCCAAUGCCGGUGUCAUUUUGUACUUCAGUUCCAAAAUAGGAACGUUUUAUACUUUUUUCUGUAUUGUAAUAGGUAGUUUUGUAUGAAAUAUUUUCUCUUCUUCCCUUGUACCCCAUCCUUUCCAACAUUGUGCUUUCUCUCUGGGCUUAUUUGAAAAUUUUACUCUGUUUUAUACCAAGCUUGUUUAGUACAUUUUUCUAUGUUUUACCACAGGUUACAAUUUGAAAAGAAAACUAUUUUUUUUAAAUAUUCCAUUGUUAACUGAAUGUUACUGUUUCCACUCCAGCAACUAGAUGUCCUACCUUUUUCAUAACUGCCUGCCUUUUUGGGGAAGACCACCUUUUCUUUCUUUCUUUCUUUCUUUCUUUCUUUCUUUCUUUCUUUUCUUUUCUUUUCUUUCUUUCUUUCCUUCCUUCUUGUGUUUUUCUAUAGGAAAUAAAUAGCUUUCUAUUUAUGAGUUGCUGAGACCUUUCACAUUCUCUGUUAGAAAGCUGUGGCAUGCAGGCUCAUUGUAGGACUCCUGUACAUGGAUUCUUGGUACUUAAUGUAUUUCAGUGGCAACUUGAAAGGUGGCAAUAUGGUAUAGAUUCUGAUUAUGAAUCAGAAGACCUGAGUUUUUUCAGGUGCUCUUGCUACUGUCUGGGGGACUCAGAACAAGAUAGUUCUCUGUAUUUAUUGUUUGUCCAUUUAGAUAACAUCUGUCUUACCUUCCUCACAGACUUUUUGUACAGACCAAAGCAACAAAUAUUUAUUGCCAUGUAUAACAGAAAAUGAAACAUGCAACAAAAGCACUUUGAAAAAUAUAUAAGGAAUUGUUGAGCCUGUGUGAACGUGGACCCCCUUUCUGGUCAAUACAUUUUUGUACAAGGGGAAGUUAGUGAUCCUGAGACCACCCUACAUGGGUGGACCAAGCUGAGACAUAGGUUGUGGCCCAGGGUGGCUCAAUGGGAACCACCCAUUUGACUAUAUUUGGGUCUAUAUUUGACUUCUGUAGUGGGCUAUUUUUCCAGAGAGCUAGCCACAAGAUCAGGACUAGCAUCUGGAAACUUAAUUUCUCCUUUAUUUAAGGGUGGGCUUUGAUGACCAGGGAGGGGAAAAAAAGAGGUUCUUGCAUUACAUGGCUAAGGGCAUGCUACCAAUAUCUUAUCUAAAUUGCUUUAAACUGAAGCCUAUUGCUUUCCUUUUCUCCUAUCUUCCAUUCUUCUCUGUGCUCAGUGCUCGUAAUGACCUACCUCCCCUUAAAAAGGAACACUCGAGAGAUGAUGAACUCUAUCUAGAUAUAGAGCCUUCAACAGAAACCACAGUCCCAACAAUCACUCCUGGACCCUGUACAGAGAAAAUCAGAAUAUUUGAGAAUACAUGGCCCAAGGCAUGGAGGGAGAAGACUCCUUCAAAGUGGAACCUGGAUCAGAUCAUGAGUCAAAGUCAACCUCUGUCCCCAGCUGCUCCUGGGAUGCCUGGCGUGGCCUUGCACUGCAGAAAGUUACAAAGGGCCUGGGGAGAAGGUGCCUCGAACAGUGGAAGGAGAGGAUUGUUGAAGGAGUGAAGGAAUUACUCAGCGUCCCUUCCAUUUUGACAGCCUCUUCUCCAAACCUUGGGUCUGGUUUACUGUAAAAGCCGGGGUCUCUGGCUUCAAAUGCAUUAUCCACCUAGCAGAACUAUCUCCUUCCAAUAACAUUAACAGGCAAGCACCUGACGUGGACAUCAUGGGAGCUCUAUCAAUGUGAAACCAAAGAAGAGAACUUUGGUGAGGUCUGCAAAGGCUAACCCUCCCUCUUUUGUCUCCUGAGAGGGAUUGAGGUCCUUGUCUCUUCACCUUAGAUUGGAGGGUCAAGCGGCAUGGUGGGGUCCCUCUGCCUUUGGGUUCAUUUCCUCUCGGCUUCUCCAGAAAGAGGUACCGAGGAAUUCCCUUCACGCCUCCUACCACAACCCGUUCUCCCACUGCCUUUCUUUUGCCUCCCACUCUCAUCCCCAAUUCUGGGUUGCCCACAUUAGCACGUUUUCCUUUGAGGCCUCUGGUCCUAACCUAGAAGGGGGAAGGGCUGAAGAUGGGAGGGUGAUGAGGAGGGAGACACCAAGCAGGUGGGGCUCAUCCCCACAGGGGCCCAGGAAUCAAGGGUGUGUGCGUGGGGGCAUCUGGAGACAUUUCUGGUGUUCCACAGUGUUCCAUUUUGUCUUUUCGCUUGUUUCUGUGUCUCAUGCUCUGUCCCCUCAGUAUGGAGUUUCCUCAGCCAUUCCAACUGGUUUGAGAAUCUCAGGAAUGUGUAGCCCUGUGCCCUCCUGCUCCCCACCCCCACCUCCGUACACAGAGCCCCUGUAGAGGUGGAACUUAGUUCAAGCUAGAGGCCGGCCGAGUGGGGGAGGGUCCUCCUCUUUUACUGGAGAAGAAAGACAACACACCCUUCCUCCCACCCUCUCUCUGAUUUCUUCCCCAAAAUCAGUCUGCCACUUGCAGCUCCCUCUCACACAGACUGGCCUUUCCCACCCUCACCCCUCACUGGGGGCCUCUGUUGAUGGUAAUUACUCCUAAUUGUUUUCUCUUGGCUCACGAGGCCUUCCUUGCCUGCCCUGAGCCAACAGUUCUGUGUCUGCUCAGAAAAUGGGCUCAACUCAGACCAGAGGCAAGCCUCUUUGGGUCUCAAAACCCAGACUUUAGAUCUAAUACAGAGGGCAGUUUUGACCACGGGUGAGCUGUAAGGAAGGCUGCUGCUUGGACUCAAGGCAGAUUGCAGCAAGAAAUACUGAUCAGACUUCAGGAGCACAUUCCAGCAGCAAGGCUCCUGGAGAAGCUCUAAGCAUUUCCUUCCAUGAGGAUCUUAGUAGCAGAGAGCUUGGGCCUGGCCUGGGGGACUGGACUCCUGAAUGGGGUCUCUGAGCCCUGCAGCUGAGACCUUGGUGGUAUGGAGCUGCCUAUCUUACCGUCCAAGGCCUUUCUCCACCGGAAGACCAGCCUCCGGCCCCAUACAUCAUCCUAUGCCAGUGGGGUGAGCAGGCCUUUUGCCAGAGCUUGAGACGAGACCAUCACAGUCACACACAUGUAAGCAUGGAGGCUUUGUAUUGCUCCCUCCUGGUGCCCCCAGCGUCUGGAUCAAUACUAUGGUAACUGGUGUAGGGAGGAAGAUGAGGGUGAGAGAGGGGGACUGGGGAUGGUGGGGGUAGACAUGCACACACUGUCCCUUUUUCCCUCUGCAGGGCUGCUGACCCUGAUUCAUUCUACCUCCAGAGGAAGAUCCUUAGUGAUCCAGGGCUCUUUAGAAUCCUAUAUAGCCCUUGGAAAAUUAUUUUGGGGUGUUAGCCAGAGAGAAGAGAGGACAUAGAAGUGUUUAAUUAAUUAAUUAAUUCAAAAAUAACUAAGUGCCUACUCUAUGCCAGAUCCCUGUGUUAGGUGCUGGAAAUGUCCUCAGUCUCCCAGUCCAAGCACAUAACACUUUGCUCUGGUCCCAGCCUAAAACAUUUUGUCCCCAGGCCCUGUUCCUGGCACCACCACCAUCAGCCUGAGCCUCCUCUCUCUGGUGCAUUCCACGCCUCCCUGACUCACUGCUACUUUGCUCAGCUGCAGAGCACAUUUUCUAGUGAGCAGAGAAGCCUCUGCAAGAAGGGGCCUGAGGAAUAGACAUGAGGAUGGAGAAAAGGCCAGUUUCACUCAACCCCAGACCUCCAGGGGCGUCUCAAAGACCUGCUAUAAAGGGUCUGAGCUCAGAGAUUUCCUUUAGAUUCUGGAGUAAGAUGGCUACACCGUCUAGACCUGGGUCUCUCCUUCCUUCUUUCCCAUGAUUGGACCAAGGAAUCAAAUUAGGUUUGUUACUUUUUUAAAGUAAACUCUGUGCCCAAUGUGGAGCUUGAAUUCACAACCCCAAGAUCAAGAGUCACAUGCUCUACUCACUGAGCCAGCCAGGCACCCCAAAUUAGGUUUUUAUCAGAAUGUCUACUUGGAUCUGAGAGUGUCUUUUUAUUCAUCCAUCCACCCAUCUACCCAUCCGCUUAUCUAUCUUCUGUUCAUUCAACCAUUCACUCAUCUAUUUUUUUAGGACCUACCCUGUGACAGGAACUGGGAAGAGAGGGAUGAACAUGGUAUGGUUGUUGGUCUAUUCUUUGGUCCCCAGGCUAUCCCUCUCAGUCUCAGCUACUGCCUCAGAAGCUAGAUCUCUCUUCUCCCCUCACAUGGGGGGCCAGACUCCAGCUGAGGAGGUCUCACGAUAGGUAACUAGGAGUCCUGAACCAAUGACCACUGGUAAUCGGGGCCAGUCAGGGGAGUGGGGGCCAGGCUAGUGGUUGGAGGAAUGAGGAGGCACUUGGCCAGGCCACUGAGCCCAUCACUGUGGUUUGGCUCCUUUGGUGAAAAAAUAGCCAGUUUGGACAAGUGUCUGCCUGUGUCCUGAGCUCUGGGUUGCUCCCAGACAGGAGUCGCUCCAUUAAACAAACCACAGCCAAGGGCAACAGGGGCCCAGAGAGGACUAGAAGGGGGAGUGGGAACAUAGGGCUCAGGACAGGACUUGAGCCAAGUCUGUCCAUCCCAGGCAUAAUGGUGCAAGUGAGGCCUGCUUGGUGGGUUGGAGGUAUGCGUGUGCAUCAUGAGAGCUGCAGGUGAGUCUGGAGAGAGAAGCCAAACCCAGACUCACAAAGAGAAGACAGCUACAAAGGUAAAUAGGAUCGGCAAUCUAGAAUCUGUUUUAGGACAAGAGUUGAAGAUUCUUCACCCCAAAGCACCCAGAUAGGUACAGAAGGUUAUGACGGCACCAGAGGGUGUGUGUGUGGUGUGUAUACUCUAGUCACAUAUGAGUUUGGGUCUUUAUUAUUUAUUUUUUCUAUGUCUUCCACUUCAUUCUAAAAUCAGAAGGACUCUGAGUGGUUUCGGCUUCUCUGGGCCUCUCCUCCCCUUCCCACGUGUGGCUGAGGGCGAGUUAAUGGGACCUGUACACACAGAGGCUCACACAGCCUUGAAGACAGAGGCCCAUUCAUACCAGGACACUGCGGCACCUCUCUCCCAGGCUGGCCUGCGGUCCUGCUCCUGUGGUACCAACACGCACAAGUGAGAGACGUGCGCCUUUGCACAUGCAACCUUGCUCUCAAGCACACACAUACAAAGCCACACUCAGGCUCUGUUAACCCUUCACUUCCAUGUGCAGGGCCUCUGGGCUCUUAGUAUAGGAUCUGGCUUUGCCUUUCUCAAUCCCUUUACGCAGCCCAAGUCCCAUCUGAGUUCAUCCUUGAACAACCUCGUCAGGAUCCCAGGGAAUCCACCAUGGGCUUGCAAAGCCUCCCAGUGCCCAAGACGGGGAGUGAACACAAUCUCAAUCAGAGACAAGAUGGAAGCAUUUCCCUCAAAAUCAAGGACUAUUACAGUCUGGGUUCAAAUCACUGCAAGCUGUGGUGCCUCAGACAAAUUAUUUAACCCCUCUGGGCGUCAGUUUCUGAACUGAUAUGAGUACAGGAAAACUUGAGGUCCACAGAUAAGCCUACUAAAAUUAUAUGUAAAACAUAUAGAAUUCUACAUUUUGCUAGAAAGAGGCUUCAGAAGUUUAGCCAGCUUCUCAUAAAUCCCUUGAACACCUCAAAGCUUAAGAACCAGUAAACUUAUUUAUUUUAUCUUAUUUUACUUCAUUUUAUUAUUUUUUUCAUCAUGACACGUAUACUCUUAAUCCCCAUCCCCUAUUUCACCCAUCCCUUCACCAACGUCUCCUCUGGUAACCAUCAGUUUGUUCUCUAUAGUUAAGAGUCCAUUUCUUGGUUUGUCUCUCUCUCUUUUGUUUCUUUGCUCAUUUGUUUUGUUUCUUAAAUUCCACAUAUGAGUGAAAUCAUAUGGAAUUUGUCUUUCUCUGACUUAUUUCACUCUCUAGCUCUAUCCAUAUUGUUGCAAACAGCAAGAUUUGAAAAAAGAUUUCAUUCUUUUUGAUGGCUGAGUGAUAUUCCAUUAGGUAUGUAUGUAUACACACACACACACACACACACGUACACAUAUACACAUACAUUUCUUUAUCCAUUCAUCAGUCAGUGGACACUUGGCCUGCUUCCGUAGUUUGGCUAUUGUAAAUAAUGCUGCAAUAAACAUAAGGGUGCUUUGAAUUAGCGUUUUUGUAUUUUGGGGAUAAAUACCUGGUAGUGUGAUUAAUGGAUCAAUUAUAGGGCAGUUCUAUUUUUAAUUUUUUGAGAAGCUUCCAUACUAUUUUCCACAGUGGCUGCACUAGUUUGCAUUCCCACCAACAGUGCAAGAGGAACCAGUGAACUUUUGGAACUUUUCCAGAACUUUAUAGGAGUUGAGUGCUUGUAAGUGAUACAAACAUGGCCAUUGAAAAUCCACUCAAUCAUCUAAGGUCAGUGUCAAACCCACCCUGUACUACUUAGUGCCUGAAGUUUUCUCACAUGACUCCCACUCCUAUACCCCCAGCUUGGGGAACUGCACACCUUAUAUCUAUGAAGAGCCCAGGUCAGGCUCAACUGAGGGUCUCCCAUCUGAUGGACUUGGGAUGGGGUCACACUGGGGUCACACUGGAGGGUCAAGCCCAGCAGGGUUUAGGAGGAAAGAAAGAAUGGUGAUAGAUAUUAGAAAUAAUAAUCAUGAUUCUGAUGUGUAUUGAGUGCUUAACAUGUGCUAAGCAUUGUGUAACCAACCAAUGAAGUGAAUAUCAUUAUUCCCAUUUUAUAGAUGAGGAAAUGAGUUCAGUCAAAAUUGUCAAUUGCUCAGGAUCCCUCCACCAGUAAGUGGUAGAAGCUAACACUGACAGCAAGUCCGUUUGACUCCAAAGUCUUAAAAAGAGAAGGAGCGAGAGGGCAUUGAAGGGACAGCCCCAUCCCUGGUGACAUUUCAGGUGAAUUGAGUACCUCAUUGCAGCAUUUGGGGCACAAAGCUGCAUCAGAAAUCUCCUCUGGGGAGAAAGGGCCAGAGCCAGCAGUCUGCCUGAGCCAGUCCUUGGGGGUAUGAGGACAGCAAGCAGGCUGGGCUGGAGGCACUGGCUCUUGAGGGCUUUCACCAGGUCUCAAAGACCUCUUUGUUCAGUGCUCCGACUUCUACAAAGAACUCUCCAACCCAGAGUCCUCUGGAACCUUGGCCUGAUCCACCAGCAUACAAGGGUCUCCAGUCCCACUCACCCUCUGCCAGAGAACAGCUAGCCCCCAUGAAGCCAUGGGGUCUCUAAAAAGGUGGGUGGCUGAGGAACCAGGGCCAGACAGCUAGGGACAGGGAGUGGGCAGGAGGGACUAGGUCAGGGAGAAUGAGAGUGGGGGGGGGCUGCCUGCUGGCUGCUCCCCAAACAAACACAUUUUCUCCUUUUGAGGCAGAGAAUCAAAGAGUUACCAGCUGUUUAUUUUUACAUUGCUUAAAAGAGUUUUGCAAAUUCUUACCAAUUGCUGUUGAAGAGCUCAGAAUUUCCCCCAACCACUUGAUACAGUUCCCCAACCUCUUUCCACAAUCCUUCCCAUUGCCCCCUCAGCCUCUGCAAUAUCAAAAUGAGCAGGGGAAGGGGCAUCUGGCUGGCUUAGAAGGUAGAGUAUGUACGCUUUGAUCUCGGGGUCAUGAGCUGAAGCUUCACGUUGGGCAUAGAGCUUAUUAUAAAAAAGAAAAAAAUACAAGAACAGGAAAAGUAGGAAAAUAUGACAGUUGAACUCUUAAUGGAUGUCCUUGCACUUAAUUCCAGCCCCUCAUCCCCAGACUGGAGUCUAGAAGGAACUAGAGAACACAGGAAGGAGCCCUAGUCCCAAGGAACUCUGGAGGAUGCCAUGGAUCCCCUAGGGACGGGGAGCAAGGAAUCUCCAACUCCUUUCCUAGCCCCGCUGCUGGACCCUCCUAACACCCUCCUCUGCCAUUCUUGUCACUCUUUUUGCCUUGGCCCUUCUGGAUUUGGGCUCCACCUCCUUCCUGAGGGUGAGGAUGGUGGUCUUUGUUGCAUUUUCCCAACCCCAGAAGAAUAUGACUUAUAGCUCUACCAGAGCCUCAUUUCUGUGACUUUGCUUCCUUGUCCUCCUUUGCAAGGGACAGUAUGAGGCUGUUCUCAGAGAGCUUUCGUUUCUCCCCACUCAUGGAACACUUCCUGCAGGUGCCCUGGUCUCUGCUUGCAGUCACUUCCUGCUCCAGCACAGGCAUCUUCCCAGCCUGAUAGCCUGGCCCAAUUUCACAGCCAAUUCCAGAGACUUCCUGUCUUUGCAGAGCAGUGUGACCUAGGGGCCUCAGGGACUGAGAUGGUUCAAAUGCGGGCUGGAAACUACUUAGGACACCAGUAGGGAGUGGGGACACCAAAUAAAAAAUUAAUCACUUAAUUUCCAAUAUUUGACUUAUUUUAAAGUCUAGAAGUAAUCACCAUGAUAAAAGUCACAACUUUGUUGGACUUCGUUACAUUUACUUUACCGUUAGAAUUGCUUCUAUUUUGAAUACCAAUCCUUUCAAAGCCGGCACUUGUAAUGGUUUUAAUCUAGCUCCAAGGGCUCUGUGUUGUCUCUAAGCAAGAGAAAAAAAGCAUCCUGGAAAAGUCAGCCCUCUGUGUCCCCAAAAAGGGGGGUGGAGGGAUGGUGGGGUACCACAGAAAAAGGGCUGAGGAUUGUGGCCGAGGGCCUUAGGUUCAACCCCAGAACCGUCAUUUGCUACUUGAGGCUUACCCUCUCUGGCUUCCAUUUUCUCCUGUCUAGAUGGGCAUAAAGUUAUCCCACUGUCUACUUCAGGGUAUUAUAAUGAAGGUCAGAUGGGAUUGCAGAUGUCAGAGCACAUUGAAAAUAGUCACAACAUCAACAUUAAUCAUCAUUAGAGCAAAGAGUGGAGGUAAGAUCCUGGAGAGACACCCCAAAGAUUUAUAGUGGCAUUUUGCCCACCUCUUGGCCUCUAAGCCAGCCCAAAGAUAUCCAGGAAAGGAGACCCCAGGCCUCCUCUCUAAUUCUGGCCUCACAACUUUGUGAGAAUGGUCUCUGUAUUGCUGAUAAGCACCUUUUGGUUACCUGAACAACAUGUACAUUGAACAACAGUGGUUUACGUUUAACCAAGGCCCAUUUCCAAAAGGCCUCCCUUGCUAAUGACAAACAGGUCUCUCCAGUCUCCAGGGGAAGUGAGCCCAUUUGAGGGAUCCCUGACCAGGUAGGGCUUCGUGGUCCCUGUGCUGUUGACGGGGACUGUCACAUCCAGGUUCGCUGUCUUCCUUCUGGCCGGGGCAGAAUGUGGCCUUGUGUGCAGUUUCUAUCCCGGCAGGCGCACAGGCGCAACCCACCGGUUGAAACUCGGCCCUCCCUGGACAGCCCUCAAGCACUGCAUUUUUUUUCAGUUGCUCUCACCAACCCCACAAAUGAAAUUAUCUUCCCUGCUUGUGCCCUUUGGCUGUUUCUGUUUCAGGGAACCGUGGGCUCAAUAAGCUCCACUGUUCUACCCAGCUGGCCAAACAGCCUCGUCUCUGUUUUCCUGGCCAGACCCUGGGGCCUGGAGUCCUGCCUCCGGGAAUUCCAGAAUUCGAGAAUGUUAGAGCUGGAAGAAACCUCAGCCCUCACCCAGUCCUGCCCUAACCGCUGUACAGAUGGGGAAACUGAGGCCCAGGGAGGGAGGGGAAGGCUUUAGGAGCUCAGAGCCUCAGCGUUUCCUGUCAGCCUAGCUCAUGCAGGCAGCAGCCAUAGCCACCAUCCCUGGCCUGCUGGCCUGCCUGCCAUGGAGAGCUCAGACUCUCCCAGGUAGCCCGCCCCAUUGCUGGAACAAUAGGAAUGUUCUUCCUAAUGUCGGGCUAAAAUUGGCCUCCUACCUCCGUUUAACACUCACCUAUCUGUGCAAUCUCCAUGGAGAUACGACUAGCCUGGACAGAACAACUGGAAGUCAAUUCACCAUCAAAGGGAAUGGAAUAGACUGUCGGGGACCAUUCUUGGGCAGCCCCUGCCUACAGGACUGGAGAGAAGGCCCAGCGUCUGGAUCAGAGGGACCCGGGUUCAGUUUCGCUCUGUUGUUUCAGAGUUGUGUGAUGAUGGUGUGUUACUUAACCUGUUUAAGCUUCAGUCCCUUGUCUGUAAAAACAGGAAUAAUGGUAGCUGCCAUCUCGAAAGGCUGCUGUGAGGAUGCUGUGGGAUGAAGUGGAGAGUGAUUUGGCAUGGAGCUGGUGUGUGGUCAGAAUACAGCCGCUGUGGGUUUCAUUGAUGCUGUUGUAAGAGCACAGGCUCUAGAUUCACAUUGCCUUCAUUUGAAUCCCAGCUCCUUCACUUACUAUGUAACUUACUUGACAUUGGACAAGUUACUUAACCUCUCUGGGCCACAUAUUCUGCAUCAGUUUGGAUAUUUUUGGUUGUAAGUUACAAAAAAAAAAGGAAGGAAGGAAGGGAGGGAGGAAAGAAUCCAGCUCAAUUUUCUUAAUAAUGGACUUUAUUAAUUCACAUGAAAAUCCUAAAGUCAUGAGAGUUUCAGGAAUAGUUUGAUCAGGACUUCUGCUUAUUCUCUAUGAUUCUUCUGGCUUUGCCUUCCUGAUGUGUUGGUUCAUCCUCAGUAUGGUUCACCCAUGAUCCUAAGAUGGCUGCAGACAAUUCUAGGCCUCCCACCUGUACAUAUCACAGUCUAGCAUAAAACAGAAAGAGAGGUCUUUUCUUCCAUCAUUAUUAAGUCAAGUUCUAGUCUACACUUCACUUGGAUCAACCUGAAGGUGUUCCUCUGGCAUGAGCUAUGGGGUUACCCUGAUUGGCUCAGAUCUAUUGGGGCCUACCCUCAGACCUGGGCCUCCGGUCAACCCUGCCUAGCCUGCAAGUCUGCUACACAGUGUGGGUGGGAUAUGAUGAUGGCUGCAUGGAGAGGCAACCACCAUGCAUUUGUAAGGACUAAAUGCAAUAAUGCAUGCAAAGCUUUUAGAGCAGUUGUCUGACACCCAGUAAGUGUUAACCGUUUGUCAUUAACUAUUAAUGUUAUUCAUAUCCUGAGCACAUUCCAUCAGUCACUUUUCAAAGGCACUGCUGAGGGCCAGUUUGGGGGACUGUUCCAGUUGUGUCACCAAGCCCUCUCCUUUCUGUUUUUGUUUUUGUUUUUUUAACAUUUAUUUAUUUUUGAGAGAGGCAGAGAUGGAGUGUGAGCAGGGGAGAGGCAAAGAGAGACAGAGACACAGAAUCUGAAGCAGGCUCCUGGCUCUGAGCUGUCAGCACAGAACCCGAUGCGCGGCUUGAACUCACAGACCGCGAGAUCAUGACCUGAGCCAAAGUCAGAUGCUUCACCAACUGAGCCACCCAGGCUCCCCAAGCCCACUCCUCUCUACCUCACAGCAGCCAUGUUGCUGCAGCCCUCCUCCCUGUUUCUUUCUCUCUUGGGCCCCUCCUCAGCCUCAAGCCAUUGGGAAUGCUUUAGGCCCUGCAGUGCCAACAGCCUGCUCUUGAUCAUGGCUUCUAUAACUCCCUAACCCUCUCCUAGCUCCAGGGUACAGCUGUGCUGCCCAGCUCUUUGUCCCGAAAGUAGGGUUUCCUUUAUAGUCUCUCCACAUCUUAAUUUGUCCCUCCAAAAGUUGCUUUAAAGCAUCCUGGACCCUAACUCCAUUCUCCCCUUUGAUCUGUGUCAUUCAAAAAACACCAGCUCGAAAAUACAGGGGAAAGAUAAUACAUCAUCCUCUGCUGGCUCCAUAAAUUAUCCCAGGAGAGAUCAACUUUCUCCUCUGGACAAAAGUUUAAGGGUGUCCUUAGUGGCAUGUGUUCUACCAACCUGAGUCUAGGCAGAUUAAACCCAAGUCUUGGUGAUGCAAAAAUGCAGGAGAUUUCUUACAGGAAAGAACUUCACAUUCAUGGUUAGUAUUGGAAUCUAUUAUUUUCAGAUGACUGAUGCUGUGAGCUUCUCUCUGACCUUCUUGCUACAGCAGAGAGAGCAUGAGUGGUGCUGGUUACCAAGACUCUGGUCAACACUAGCCCCUUGCCAGAGCCUGGAGAAAUGUGUCUGGAUCCCUUCUUGUCUUACUGGUGCCAUACAACUCAGUCCAUUUGGUAUCUUUCCAUGGAUCUGCCCAAUGGCCCUGGGAGGUGGUGGUGGGGGGCUUAUAUAGUUUACAGGUAAGAGUGCCAGGCUGGAUGACUUUACAUAGUUUGUAUAAGAUCACCUAGCUAGGGGUGUCUGGGUGGCUCAGUCGGUGAAGCAUCUGACUCUUGAUUUUGGCUCAAGCCAUGAUCUCACGGUGGUGAGAUAGAGCCCCGAGUUGGGCUUUGUGCUGGGCAUGGAGCCUGCCUUGGAUUCUCUCUCUCCUUCUGCCCCUCCCCCCCUCAAAAAAAAAAUCACCCAGCUAAAAAGUGAGAGAACUGGGACUUGAAUCCACGCCUCCUGAAUGCAGUGCCAGUGUUCUCUCACUGCUGCAGAUCCACGUCUUGCCUUUGGACUGGUCCUUGGGAAAGAAUACCUUGAGAAACUGGAGUCAGGCCUGUGUCUUCGUGCACACCCCAGCCUGGGCCAGAGCAGGGGCUGGCCAGUGCAAAUGAUCAGGGAAGGGCCCUAGAGCCAGCUCUGACCCUGCCUGGCCUCUUCUCCCAGCAGGGGAACACAGUGGGGGAUCCCAGGAAUUAGACCAAAUCCUUAGCUCCAUCUGUAAACAUGGCUGCAGUCUCUUUCAGAUUCCUUGAGCUCCAUUCACAUCUUGCUGGGUGAAUCUCUGUUUUUGGCUUCAGUCUCCUCCCUAUAGGUCUCUCUUCUCCAUCGGACUUUGAUCUUCCUCUCUCCUGGCCUGUUAGUCUCUUGAUAUCCAGUGUAUCUUGGUUGGCCUUUAUCUCUUGUUGAUGUCACCUUUCUUCCUCUCCCUCAGUUCCUCCUCCUGAACUUCCGGGUCAAACAGGCAAGGGGGGGCUCCAGGAGAGGGGCUGCUGAGCUGCCUCUCCUCCUUCUCUCUCCCCCACCAGUGCCCUCCCCUGGCAGCUGCCCUGCACACUUCUCUUGGGCCCUGGCUCCUCAUCACCAUAGCCAGGUCUUCCUUGAUGUGUGGGGCUGAGACAAGGCACAGGGAGGCCGUUAGAGCCACUUCUCUGGAUACAAAAGCCUCUUUCUCCCCCUCAGAGAUGAGGUUUCCAGGCAGGUUAUUUUUAUAGCAGGGCUCAGGCAGGAUCCUUCAGAGAAAAUAAACAAAGUCCCACACACCAGUCCUUCACACCCCUCAGUCCCUUCCCUGGAGAGGGGUCUGGCCUGGCUGUGCCCGCACAGGGACGCCCACCGCCUCAGAGGGGCUACAGGGGCUGCUGCCUGGCUGGGAGAGGCUGGGAGGUCCAGCUGGGGAAGGAGCACUUGGGAGGGAGACAGACAAAGGUCCUCUGCAGCUGGCCCCAAGGGGUCCGGGAGGAGAGGGCUGAACUCCUGGGGACCCCAUCUCACAAUGUGGGAAGGGGUCUCCGUUCCAUAUCUGCAGGGGAGAAUUAAAUUCAAAUUCAGAUUUAACCCAAAUUUUCUAAAUGCCUACCAGGCACCGUGCUUGGAAGUUUCAAACACAUUUCGCUUAUUCCUCAUGGUGGAAUCCAGUAGAAUUCAGAUGGACAAAUUGCCAUUUUGUACCCACUGCUAUAUGCCCUGUUUUAGGUGCUUGAAAGACAAGAAUAAACGAGACACGUAGGGGGCUGUUCUCAUAGAGCUUUCCAACUGGUGGGGGUCUAGAUUCCUCAGUACAAAAACGUGAGGUAGGUAGUAUUAUACUCAUUUUGCAGGCGAGAAAACUGAGGCUCAGUGAGAUGAAUGACUCAUCCAGGGGAAGCUUGGGCCUCAGAAGUCAAGGGCAUCAGGGAUCAGCAAUCUCUUGGGGACAGGUUUCAGCUAAGAGGCUGUAAAGGACAAAAAGCCUGAGCAGGGAUAAGGGAACAAGGGACGAAUCCACAUCCAGCCUUCCCGGGGUCCCCGGCCCCCAUCAUUCCAGAUCUAGGGUAGGGCACAUGAGGUUCCUAAUCCUUGAAGGUAGGCAGGCAGGCAGUGAUGCCUCGUCUAACAGAGCCCCAGAAAGGAAGGCCUUUCAUAACUAGGUUCCCUGGAAUCCCCUCAAAGCUCCUUUAUGAGGCAGCCUCAGGUUGAAAGGACUUCAUAAAUCAUGUGCAUUCCCCGUUUGGCGACAAAAAUACCCAGCCCCUGCACGUCCCUGCCCAGCGGAGGCAAACAGAACUCACUGAAGCAAAGUGCGAGUCCACACAGGCAGCCACUGUCCUCGCCUCCCUCAACAGAGUCUGUCCCAGGACUCAGACCCCUCUCCCUCUCUGGACACAGAAUUCCAGAUACCAACCAUUCACACUGAUUACCCUUCAGGAGGAGUGAGCUUCCUUCCACGUGCUUCCUCAGCCCCACUGUUCCUUCAGCCUUUUCAUGACUAAUAGUGGAAUGAAGGAAUGUGUUCAGAAGUUCCAAGUAUCAGUAGGUAGAGUUCUAGAGCGUUCUUGAAGAGCCAGAGGAGGCCCAAAUAACACGUUCUGGUAUCUAUACUUCGUCGUCUUUAAAAUGGAGCUAAUAAUCCUUGUGUUGUUGUCUUACCAAGAGCUUAUACGCAGGCAGUGUUUAGCACAGUGCCCGCCACAUGGUGAGUGCUCACAGAGUCCGAGCCACUGUUGGCCCUCCUCCCCGGGAAAAGGCUAAGUAUUCACUCAUUCAUUCAGUUUAUUGAGUGCCUGUAUGUGCUGGGCACUGGGGGCUCAGGGUCUCCUGACGCCCAGCCUCCGGCCUCCGGGGGUUCACAGAGUGGAGGCUGUUCAGACAGACCUUACCCUCGGGACUCCCAGGAUCAGGCAGGGCCGAGUAUGGGGCAUCCCCUUUAAAGUCCACCGGUUUACUUCCCACCGCUUUCCCUGGUUGCAGUUUGUUGUUUUCAUUCUGCUAGGGGCUGACCUCAGCAUGGUUUAAUGGCCUCGCCUCCUGUGGCCCCUCUCAACUGACACCUGGAAUGCCACUCUGCGCCGCCUGGGCCUCGCUGUCGCUGCUAAUGAGGUUUCCUAACAAAGCCCUGCCUCGCUGGAGUCUGCUCAGAGGGACUUCUGGACUGCAGCCUGGGGACCCGGGCUCUGUGGGAGGAAGGGGAUGUGGCGAGGGGGGAGGGCCGAGGGAACACACAUUUCUUUCAGAGAAGGCCGAGGACCGGGUGGGGGAGGGAAGGCCCGCAGCUCCUCUAGGCCUGUGGCCACUGGCCGGUCACUGGGGCACUGAUGCUAAACCCCAGGCUCUGGGGCCGUCUCUGUAGUCAACCAGAGCAAGGGCUGAAGGGGACAGGACCAGAGGUAGGGCCUGGGCCUCCAGGGCCACACCUAGCACAGUGCCCUGCACAAGGGGGCCCUGGCUCAGUGUGUGCUGGUGGCCUCUCUCUAGUCUGCAAGAUGGCCUUGUGUGUGCCCAGCCGUUGUCCCCUCUGUCCCCUCCCAUCUGCCCCGGGGAAGCUGCAUGUGCCACCGCUGCCGGUCUUGGCUGCCCCGGGAAGAUUCUAGCGUGAGGCCAAACUUGAAGGAAGAAGAGGUAGCUCCACAAUGAGCCCUCAAGACCAAAGAGGACUCACCCAGAGAAGAGAAGGCGGUGAGAUGGUCCAGGAAUAAAUGCGUUUCAAGGCUGCAGAGGACCUUCAGACCUGGGAGAGGGAACACUGCUCUCGGGCUCCGCGGAGCCUCUGAUCAAGAGAAGUAUGUAGAAAACACAUCACAGGACAUCCACCAUCAGUCGACAAAUACCUAUCAAACACCUACUCCCUGUAAAUGACUGCCAAAAGGCUGCUCUUGGUCAGAACUAAACUCCAAGUUCAAGGAAGGGCAGCCACCGCAGGGUACUUAUUGCUGCUGUGUAUCUGGUGCUGUGCCAAGGGCAGCAUCUCAUUCAGCCCUCCCAAAAACCUGGGAGGAGGGAGAUGUUGCUGUCAUCACCCGUCAUUACAGAUGAAACAACUGAGGACUAGAGAGGGCAAGUAAUUGGCUCAAGGACACACAGCUGGUAAGCAAUAGUGCUAGAGUCACAACCCCAAGCCUGGCCCUGAGCGUUGUGCUAGACCAUCAGUCUGCCUGUUGGGAGGAGGAGAUUCAGAGGCCUGGGAGGAGGCUGAGGAAGCAUAGGACAGGUUGGAGGUGAGUGGACAAUGUACAUCGGCAGAGCAGCUGGAGCAGAGGGAUCGCCAAAGUGGGGGCACCAGAUUUCCAGGCAGUGAGUACAUGGGCCUGUGGCAUAAACGGAAAGGUGGAUUGAGAAGGGCCUGAAGUGCCAGGCUGAGGAGUUGGCCUCUAUCCCGUAGGUAAUGGGGAGUUAUGGAGGGCUCUUGAGUAGUUUGAAUUAUGGGAGUAGUAUUUGAGGAUAGCGAGGCCGGCCAGGUGCAGACCUGUAUGGGACGGACGGAACCGCAUUCGAGGGAGCUGUGACACGUCCCUGGAGCUAUAUACAGCCCCUCUCCCUGGCCAGUUCAGGGCUGGACCAUCCUGCUGACAUCAAAACCGUGUCUGUCAGACCGCCAUGUCUCCAGGAAACUUCAGAUGAGGGCUGAGAGCAAGUGUGCAGCAUUCCCAGAACUAUUUGUCAGAUCUGAGGACCACUUAGACUUAUUAUUCAUUUAAUAGCUUCCUUAAAUCAACUCUCUCACUCUCUUUUGCUUUACUCAAGGUUACUUGAACUGAAAACUCUGUAUCAUGGGAUUGACAUUCUACCUCUCCCUCCAAUCACAUUGAAAUAAAUACAUUUAAAAAUAAAUAUGUAACUAUUAAAAUGAAAAAUGUUUAUCCAAGUUCCGUCUAAAGUCACCCCAGGGACCUCUGCACUUAGGAAAUAUCGCCUUGGUGACCCUCCCCUCGCUCCUUCCCCGGUUGAAAUGACCUCACUCAAAGAUUUCACAUUUGGAAAAAGCAAGUCAGAAAUCAUUCAGAGCCAGGGGAGGGGAGGAGGUUGGGCACCAGGGGGCCUCUGCACACCAGUCCCAGUGGGGCGUGAGAUGGAGGGGCUGGGGCAGCUGAGGGAGCUGCCUGGGGAGUGAAUGAGGCCUUGUUUCCCGCAGUGGCAGGCGGUGUGCAGAGACCGGGCUGCAAAUGUAAAGUUUCCAAUAACUUUCGUGGAUGGUUUUCCAAUAAACAUGUAUGCCGUCUGUCUGGACCAGGAGAUGUGCAGUCCCAGGUGCCUGGCGACGGGGCUGGGUGGGGGGCUGCUCUCUGCAACGUCAGGCCUCUGCACCCCUCCCACCGUGUCCCCCCUCCCCAACCCCGACUUGUCCCCUUGUUCGUUCUUUUCGCUGAGAUUAGAAUAGCUUGCAUUUGCUGAGAGCUGAGUGUGAAUUCUCUUCACAUUUUAUCUUACUUAAUCCCCACAAUCGCUUUAUAAGGUAGGUGUUAGCAUUGUGCCACUUUCUUUGGUCAGGAAACAUGGCAGCACAUCAGCCCAGGAGCCCUUUGGACCCAGGUCCGUGUGACCCCAAAGCCCGUGGUCUCAGCCACCUGCACCCUAUUUCCACUGCAUCGCUCUUCCUCAGCCUCAUCAGCGCACCGCCCUCCCUCUCCUCCUCUGCGUCUCUGGUCAGAGCCAGUCUCAGCCAGAAACAGCACGAGAGAAGCUCCUCUCACAACUGACACCACUCAUGAAUACAGAGGGCUGGUCUGCAGGUCAGUUGAGCUUUCUGACAGGGGACUGACCAAUCUAAUCUCAGAGACCUUUUUAGCCAUUGAAAGUUAUUUAAUUUAUUGGCUCUGGCUUCAGAUGAACAGAAUAAAUAAACGUCAGCUGAAAAGGAAAUGGUUUCUGUGGUCUUUCUCUGAAUUUGGUCCAUCAAAGCCAAGUUCUAACUCUGGUUGGAAGCAUGCUCUCAAAAGCAUCUUCCAAUGGUGUCCUUUCUUUGUUUAGUUGACUUAUCACAGGGCUA